This 1555-nucleotide ribosomal RNA is filed under the name Cacajao calvus (bald uakari). RNAcentral's name for it is "16S ribosomal RNA". It matches the Rfam family "Bacterial large subunit ribosomal RNA". RNAcentral also lists the same sequence under 1 other name. The record is from RNAcentral. Lineage: Eukaryota; Metazoa; Chordata; Mammalia; Primates; Pitheciidae.
GCUAACCCUAGCCCAAAUCCCACACCACUAAACUAUCUUAUUACAAUAAAUAAAUCAUUUACCCCAGCAAAAGUAUAGGCGAUAGAAAUUUCAUUAUGGCGCAAUAGAUACAGUACCGUAAGGGAAAGACAAACCCAACAAGCACAAAAAAGCAAAGAUAAACCCUUUUACCUUUUGCAUAAUGAGUUAACUAGAAAUAAUUUUGUAUAGAGAACUUAAACAAUACCCCCCGAAACCAAGCGAGCUACCUACAGACAGCUAAAAGAGCACACCCGUCUAUGUGGCAAAAUAGUGGGAAAAUCUCUAGGUAGUGGCGACAAACCUACCGAGCCUGGUGAUAGCUGGUUGUCCAAGACAGAAUCUUAGUUCAACUCUAAAUUUACUCACAGAAUUUAUUAAUCCCACCGUAAAUUUAAUUGUUAGUCUAAAGGGGGACAGCUCCUUAGACCCUAGGAAACAACCUUCUGUAGAGAGUAAAAUAUUUACUCACCAUAGUAGGCCUAAAAGCAGCCAUCAAUUAAGAAAGCGUUCAAGCUCAACACCUAAACACCCUUAAUUCUACCCAUCACACUGAACUCCUAAGAUACAUUGGACUAAUCUAUUACUAUAUAGAAGCAACAAUGUUAAUAUAAGUAACACGAAAUUAUUCUCCCUGCAUAAGCUUAUCUCAGACCGAAACAACUACCGUUAGUUAACAGCCUAAUCAUAAUACCCCACAGCCCUAUUUCCCAUUACCCAAACUGUUAACCCAACACAGGCAUGCUUUUGGGAAAGAUUAAAAGAAGUAAAAGGAACUAGGCAAACUCUACCCCCGCCUGUUUACCAAAAACAUCACCUCUAGCAUCACUAGUAUUAGAGGCACUGCCUGCCCAGUGACAUAUGUUCAACGGCCGCGGUACCCUGACCGUGCAAAGGUAGCAUAAUCAUUUGUUCCCUAAAUAGGGACUCGUAUGAAUGGCCACACGAGGGUUUAACUGUCUCUUACUUCCAAUCAGUGAAAUUGACCUAUCCGUGAAGAGGCGGAUAUAUACUAAUAAGACGAGAAGACCCUAUGGAGCUUUAAUUUAAUAAUACAAAUACAUACCUACAAACCCACAGGCAAUAAUAUUGCUACUCAUGUAUUAUAAAUUUUGGUUGGGGUGACCUCGGAGCACAACAAAACCUCCGAAAAAAUAAAUACUAAGACCUUACUAGUCUAAGUAAAUAUACACUUUUGACCCAAUAACUUGAUCAACGGACCAAGUUACCCUAGGGAUAACAGCGCAAUCCUAUUUUAGAGUCCAUAUCGACAAUAGGGUUUACGACCUCGAUGUUGGAUCAAGACAUCCUAAUGGUGCAGCCGCUAUUAAGGGUUCGUUUGUUCAACGAUUAAAGUCUUACGUGAUCUGAGUUCAGACCGGAGAAAUCCAGGUCGGUUUCUAUCUAUUAAAUAUUUCUCCCAGUACGAAAGGACAAGAGCAAUAGGGCCUACUUCACAAAGCGCCCUCACAAACUAGAUGAGUGUUAUCUUAACCUUAUAACCUACUUGUACCCCCCCCCCCCCAGAACAGGGCUC